This 3298-nucleotide long non-coding RNA is filed under the name Salmo salar (Atlantic salmon). Its description in RNAcentral is "lncRNA (ENSSSAG00000116007.1)". The record is from RNAcentral. Lineage: Eukaryota; Metazoa; Chordata; Actinopteri; Salmoniformes; Salmonidae.
GCAGCUACUCUUCCUGGGGUUUAUUAUGGAUCCCCAUUAUCUGCUGCCAAGACAGCAGCUACUCUUCCUGGGGUUUAUUAUGGAUCCCCAUUAUCUGCUGCCAAGACAGCAGCUACUCUUCCUGGGGUUUAUUAUGGAUCCCCAUUAGUUCCUCCCAAGGCAGCAGCUACUCUUCCUGGGGUUUAUUAUGGAUCCCCAUUAGUUCCUGCCAAGGCAGCAGCUACUCUUCCUAGGGUCCAAACACACCAAAGCACCCACAUUACAUAUAAAACAACAGAUUAAACAGUGAACUAUGUUUGUACUGAAUGAGCUAAAGAUAAAACUACAUCAUAUAACAUCUCUACACUACCACAUAGCCACAACACAAAAUGUUCAAUAUCCCCAUACAACAAUGUGUGCGUACUGUCUGCGUGGGUCUGUACCGUUUGUGUCUCUUCACAGUCCCCGCUGUUCCAUAAGGUGUAUUUUUACUUGCUAUUUAAAUCUGAUUCUACUGUUUGCAUCAGUUACCAGAUGUGGAAUAGAGUUCCAUGUAGUCAUGGCUCUAUGUAGCACUGUGUGCCUCACAUAGUCUCUUCUGGACUUGGGGACUGUGAAGAGACCUCUGGUGGCAUGUCUUGUGGGGUAUGCAUGGGUGUCCGAGCUGUGUGCUAGUAUUUUAAACAGCUCGGUACAUUCAGCUUGUCAACACCUCUUACAAAAACAAGUAAUGAUGAAGUCCAUCUGUCUUCCACUUUCAGCCAGGAGAGAUUGACAUGCAUAAUAUUAAUAUUAGCUCUCUGUGUACAUUUAAGUGCCAGCUUCCCUGUUCUGAGCCAAUUGCAAUUUUCCGAAGUCCCUUUUUCUGGCACCUGACCACACUACUGAACAGUUGUCUAGGUGCGACAAAACUAGGGCCUGUAGGACCUGCCGUGUUGAUAGUGUUGUUAAGAAGGCAGAGCAGAGCUUUGUUAUGGACAGACUUCUCCCCAUCUUAGUUGCUGUUGUAUCAAUAUGUUUUGACCAUGACAGUUUACAAUCCAGGGUUACUCCAAGCAGUUUAGUCACCUCAACACCUCACCUCAACACCUCAACUAUGGUAGCGUCCCUCCUGGCCAACAUCCCGGUGAAAUUGCAGAGCGCGAAAUUCAAACUACAGAAUUAUAAAUAUUUAACUUUCAUAAAAUCACAAGUGUAAUACAUCAAAAUAAAGCUUCUUGUUAAUCCAGCCGCUGUGUCAGAUUUCAAAAAGGCUUUACGGCGAAAGCACACCAUGUGAUUAUCUGAGGACAUCGCCCCGCAUACAAAAGCAUGAAAAACAUGUUUCAACCAGGCAGGUGCGCCACGAAAGUCAGAAAUAGCGAUAUAAUAAAUGCCUUACCUUUGAUGAUCUUCUGUUGGCACUCCAAAAUGUCCCAGAUACAUCACAAAUGGUCCUUUUGUUCGAUAAUGUCCUUCUUUAUAUCCAUAAAAACUCAGUUUAUCUGGCACGCUUCAGUCAAUAAUCCACCCAGUUUCCCUCCAUCAAAAUGCAUACAAAAUGAAUCCCAAACGUUACUAAUAAACUUUUCCAAACAAGUCAAACAAUGUUUAUAAUCAAACCUUAUGUAUCCUAGUACGUAAAUAAAUGAUAUAAUUUAAGACGGAGAAUCGUUAUUGUCUUUACCGGAGAAAAAUACCAAAGAACGCGCUCUCAUUCACGCGCUUGGAAACACUACAGCCAAAAUGGGAGCCACCUAGAAAAACUACAAUUUCUGGCUCAUUUUUCCAAAAACCAGCCUGAAACUCUUUAUAAAGACUGUUGACAUCUAGUGGAAGCCCUAGGAACUGCAAUCUGGGAGGAUUUCGCCUUAUAGUAAAAGUGGUAGGCUGAUUUAUUUUGGGGGGGAUGGUUUGUCCUUAGGUUUUGCCUGCCAUAUCAGUUCUGUUAUACUAACAGACAUAGUUCUAACAGUUAUAGAAACUUUAGAGUGUUUUCUAUCCAAAUCUACCAAUUAUAUGAAUAUCCUAGCUUCUGGGCCUGAGUAACAGGCAGUUUACUUUGGGCACGCUUUUCAUCCGGAUGUGAAAAUACUGCCCCCUACCCAAGAGAGGUUAAAGAACACCCUCUGCGUUCUGUUAGACAAGUAACUCUUUAUCCACAAUAUAACAGGGGGCGUAAAGCCAUAACACAAGUUUUUCCAGCAGCAGACUAUGAUCGAUAAUGUCAAAAGCUGCACUGAAGUCUAACAAGGCAGCCCCCACAAUCAUUUUAUCAUCAAUUUCUCUCAGCCAAUCAUCAGACAUUUGUUUACGUGCCGUGCUUGUUGAGUGUCCUUCCCUAUAAGCGUGUUGAAAGUCUGUUGUCAAUUUGUUUACUGUGAAAUAGCAUUGUAUCUGGUCAAACACAAUUUCUUCCAGAAGUAAGGAUUGGUAACAGGCUGAUUGGUUGGCUAUUUGAGCCAGUAAAGGGGGCUUUACUAUUCUUGGGUAGCGGAAUGACUUUAGCUUCCCUCCUGGCCUGAGGGCACACACUUUCUAGUAGGCUUAAAUUGAAGAUGUGGCAAAUAGGAGUGGCAAUAUCAUUCGCUAUUAUCCUCAGUAAUUUUUCAUCCAGAUUUUCAGAUCCUGGUGGCUUGUCAUUGUUGAUAGACAAUACAUUUCUUUCACACUGACUUACCGUAAUUCAAAAGUACAAUUCUUGUCUUUCAUAAUUUGGUCAGAUAUACUUGGAUGUGUAGUGUCAGCGUUUGUUGCUGUCAUGUCAUCCCUAAGUUUGCUUAUCUUGCCAAUGAAAAAGUCAUUAAAGCAUUUGGCAAUAUCAGUGGGUUUUGUGAUGAAUGAGCCAUCUGAUUCAAUGAAGUUGGCAUUUUCCCCCAAAAUGUCAUUUAGGGUGCUCCAAAGCUUUUUACUAUCAUUAGCUUUGUUUCAUAGUAUACUUUCUUUUUUAUUUAGUUUAGUCACAUUUCUUAAUUUUCAGUAUGUUUGCCAAUCAGUUGUGCUGCCAGACUUAUUUGCCAUACCUUUUGCCUCAUCCCUCUCAACCAUAACAUUUUUCAAUUCCUCAUCAAUCCAAGGAGAUUUAACAGUUUUUUAGUAAUUUUCUUCAUGGCUGUGUUAGUAGCUGGAAUAAGUAGUUUCAUAAAUGUGUCAAGUGCAGCGUCUGGUUGCUCCUCAUUACACACCACAGACCAGCAAAUAUUCUUUACAUCAUCAACAUAUGAAUCACUACAAAACUUAUUGUAUGACCUCUUAUUAAAAUGCAAAUCAAUUGUUAACAUUUUUGACAUGCGUUUUUCUGGAUUUUUUUGUUAUUCUGUCUCUCACUGUUCAAAUAAAC